This 305-nucleotide ribosomal RNA is filed under the name uncultured bacterium. RNAcentral's name for it is "bacterial SSU rRNA". It matches the Rfam family "Bacterial small subunit ribosomal RNA", at positions 337 to 640 of the family's 1533-position model. The record is from RNAcentral.
GCCUACGGGAGGCAGCAGUGAGGAAUAUUGGUCAAUGGUCGGGAGACUGAACCAGCCAAGCCGCGUGAGGGAGGAAGGUACAGAGUAUCGUUAACCUCUUUUGUCAGGGAACAAAGGCGGGGACGUGUCCCCGGAUGAGUGUACCUGAAGAAAAAGCAUCGGCUAACUCCGUGCCAGCAGCCGCGGUAAUACGGAGGAUGCGAGCGUUAUCCGGAUUUAUUGGGUUUAAAGGGUGCGCAGGCGGUCUGUUAAGUCAGCGGUCAAAGCCCGGGGCUCAACCCCGGCCCGCCGUUGAAACUGGCAGG